GCAUUGAUCUUUUUAUGUACUGAUUCACGAGGACUUAAGCCUAUGAUGCAGUUGUUUUCCCAGUCUUGGGAGCUGGCAGAUGCCAUUACCCAGGUCAGGAGAUAGAACCUUGCCAGCUAUACCCUGAAGCUGUUCAAGUCUUUCUCCCAAUUACAGUCUUCAUAAGAGUUGUUAGAAGGACUGAAUGAGAUGAAGUAGAGGAAAGUCUUCUAGGACAGGGGUCCUCAACCCUUGGGCCACAGACUGGUGGCAGGAGGGCUGCACAGCAGAUGGGAUGCCUGGUUGCAAGAAAACAAGCUCAGGGCUCCCACAGAUUCUACGUGAUGCAGUUUUCACAGAUUUGUGGCCAGAUGCUAGAGACAAAGGCUGAGAAGUUGUCCAGGACGUCAUAUUCUUGCUUUGCUGGAGGCAGAUCUGAAGGAUGUCAUCUCUCCUGUGGCUUCUUCUAGUGUGGGGUCCCGAAGCCUGGCUUCCCCAGCCGAUGUGCUGCUUUAGUCAGCGUCUGCCCUGGUCCUUCGGUUCGCAGGCUCACACGCUUUUUUGGGUUGUGUCCCUUUGGACUGCAGAGGCUACGUGUCCUGUGACCAACCACGAAGGCGGCCACUCCCGCUCCCCUCAGGAGUGUCUUAAAAUACCUCCAUUUUAGCUACCCUAUUGAAUGACAGGUUAGCUGGGUGCUGGGUUUUCAGGUGAUGGACAUUUUCCCUCAGUCCUCUGAAGGUGUUGCUGGCUUCAGGCAUUGAUGCCGCCACUCUGAUUGUUGUAUGCAGUGAGCAAACUAGAAUUUUCUCUUGGCUUUCUAGAUUUUCUUCUUUAUAUUCUGAAACUUUAUUAUAUCAAGGUUUGAAUUUUAUUUUUUUUGGAGACAGGGUCCUACUCUGUCAUCCAGGCUGGAGUGCAAUGGUGCAGUCCUGCUCACUGCAGCCUCCAAGUCCAGGGCUGAAGCGAUCCUUCUGCCUCAGCCUCCUAAGUAGCUGGGAUCACAGGUGUGCACCACUCUGCCUAACAAGGCUUGUUUUUUGUUUGUUUGUUUGUUUUAAAUAAAUACAUUCAGAUUGUUUUGCCCCUUGA
Molecule: long non-coding RNA, 1071 nt
Filed under: Homo sapiens (human)
Lineage: Eukaryota; Metazoa; Chordata; Mammalia; Primates; Hominidae
Description: HSALNT0325912
Source: RNAcentral